UUAUUACUCCCUCCGUCCGGAAAUACUUAUCCUAGGAAUUGAUGAAAUUAAUGUAUCUAUAACUAAAAUAAGUCUAGAUACAACCAUUUCGAUGACAAGUAUUUCCGGACGGAGGGAGUACAUG
Triticum aestivum (bread wheat) is the source of this 124-nucleotide non-coding RNA. NCBI's taxonomy places the organism in Eukaryota, Viridiplantae, Streptophyta, Magnoliopsida, Poales, Poaceae. The record is from Rfam.